AACUCUUAGCGGUGGAUCACUCGGCUCGUGCGUCGAUGAAGAACGCAGCUAGCUGCGAGAACUAAUGUGAAUUGCAGGACACAUUGAUCAUCGACACUUCGAACGCACUUGCGGCCCGGGGUUUCCGGGGCUACGCCUGUCUGAGGGUCG
RNAcentral lists this ribosomal RNA (150 nucleotides) under Oryzias javanicus (javanese ricefish). RNAcentral's name for it is "5.8S ribosomal RNA (ENSOJAG00000003586.1)". It matches the Rfam family "5.8S ribosomal RNA". Rfam says of the family: 5.8S ribosomal RNA (5.8S rRNA) is a component of the large subunit of the eukaryotic ribosome. It is transcribed by RNA polymerase I as part of the 45S precursor that also contains 18S and 28S rRNA. Lineage: Eukaryota; Metazoa; Chordata; Actinopteri; Beloniformes; Adrianichthyidae. The record is from Rfam by way of RNAcentral.